AGCACCGAAGUCUUCGGAGGAGCAGCCGAGGGAGCUGGGGAGGGGGGAGGUUUAGGCUCGUGAGAAAGGGCGGCUGCGGAACCUUCCUGCGGCUCCCGGCAGGGAGGCUGGAGGCGGGUGGGAGUCGAUCUCCCGAGGGACAAGCCGUAGAAAAGAAGAGGAAACGGGCUCAAGUUGCGGCAAGGGAGGUUUAGAUCGGGUGUCGGGGGGAAAAACGGGGGUGUUGAAAAGGCACGUCGAUGUGGUGCUGAGGGACGCGGUUUAGUGGUGGCCUUGCCAGGGCUGGGUUAACAGUUGGACUUGAUGAUCUCAGGGUCUUUUCCAGCCAAAAUCCUUCUGCGAUUGGGCCAAGGUGCAUACACGGCCUGGGCACGUUCUCCCGAGUUGCUGGUGGUGUGAAUUGGACCAUCAAAAGUUAUUAGGAUGUCACAGUGAGUACCUACAAAGUCUAGUCGUGUGACUGGGUGACUCAAACCAGACUUGACAUCUUUCCCUUCCAGCCCAGGGAAGACCUGCAGGAGACUCAAAGAAAAAGAGAAGUGGCUGCUAUCACAAAAGACAUUGCCUGCCUUGUCUUCAGCUGCCAAGGCUCUUCUGGAGGUGUCUCACCAGCAAGGCCUGGAUCAUCUCCACUGUCCACCACCCUCUCUGCAGCAAAGGACACAUCUUUGGAAAGGAAAGCUCUCAUUUUGGCCUGGGUACCAGCAGGGGGAAAGCCAGUGUAACAAAACAAGUAACUGCUGAAAAUAAGACUGGCAGCAACACUCAGAGAUGAUCUAAGUCCACCCUCUCUUAAUAGCAGAACAAAACACCAAUCACCCUCAUUAAACCUAUUGACAUAAGUAACCUCAGACUAAUAGUUUGACAGUCCCUGGCCACCAACUUAUGGGCACGCAGAGAACAAACUCCUCUUGAGAAAGGCAAGACACUUCACACACACACUAGCCCAACCCAGCCCAGGGAGGCAAAACAAGCCAGCAGUGAAACUGCUGACCUUGUUACGGGCACAGUCUUUGCUUGGUUCUCUGAAUUUUAAGCUGCCAACACUUUGGGUAAGGGCUGUCUGAGAUCCUAGACUCUAAAAAAAGGAUAAUAUCCUACUUAGAUGCCUCUGCUGCUACUGACUCAAGCAUUUCAUAAAACAAAUACAUCCAACUGCUUUCCCUUUCCUGCUGGGACUACCAAUACACCCCACCAGCUGCUGUAGAUUUUGAAACAGAUGCAUCGCCAGGAACCGGAUCACAACAAUUUAUAUAACCCAGGCUAAGGGACACAAGGGGACAGGACCUUCAGUCACAGAUACCUCCUGGUCAUAAUUACCUGCUCGUAUGGAUGUGCUCUCUGCGGCUCUCCUGCUAAUUAAACAGCAGUGUGUGUCAUUCAUCAAAUGAAUUGGACUAGUAAAGCAACCAAGGUCAUUAAAGCAAGACUUCAGCUGAAA
Apus apus (common swift) is the source of this 1441-nucleotide long non-coding RNA. RefSeq lists it as uncharacterized. NCBI's taxonomy places the organism in Eukaryota, Metazoa, Chordata, Aves, Apodiformes, Apodidae. The transcript is spliced from 2 exons. The record is from RefSeq and is a predicted model, not a curated record.